AUGCUUUUGCAGUUCUUACACCACGUCAUUAGGUUCAGCCAAGACAUAUGGUUCCAGUUGUAUGUAAUUCGUUCUUAAGGUUCUGCUGCCUUAAAGGGACAGUUCAAGGGACCGGAUGUCUGUUCUGCCAGUGGUGUGAUUUUCUAGCAAUGAGUUUUGUCGGCAUAUUGUAGAAAGACAUUUCUUUCCAGCUUCGGCUAAUUAGCUUUAGUGACCUCAUAGCGUUACAUUAUUCUUUUGAGGCAUAAAUUUAUACCUUCCAAUUUCUUACGUGCCCUUGUGAAUUUAGAAACAAUUAUACCAUAUAUAAAAGCGGGAAUAGCGCAGAAAUUGUUUUAACUUUAA
Non-coding RNA from Nicotiana tabacum (common tobacco), 345 nucleotides. Lineage: Eukaryota; Viridiplantae; Streptophyta; Magnoliopsida; Solanales; Solanaceae. The record is from RefSeq and is a predicted model, not a curated record.